GUGGGGUUGUGGCUCAAAGGUAGAGCACUAGCCUCACAUGCCUGAGGCACUGAGUUCAAUUCUCAGCACCACA
This 73-nucleotide transfer RNA is filed under the name Marmota monax (woodchuck). RNAcentral's name for it is "tRNA.Val". It matches the Rfam family "tRNA". From Rfam's summary of the family: Transfer RNA (tRNA) molecules are approximately 80 nucleotides in length. Their secondary structure includes four short double-helical elements and three loops (D, anti-codon, and T loops). The record is from RNAcentral. Lineage: Eukaryota; Metazoa; Chordata; Mammalia; Rodentia; Sciuridae.